RNAcentral lists this long non-coding RNA (1216 nucleotides) under Phoenix dactylifera (date palm). RNAcentral describes it as "long non-coding RNA (PDAC_LNC015413)". The record is from RNAcentral. Lineage: Eukaryota; Viridiplantae; Streptophyta; Magnoliopsida; Arecales; Arecaceae.
UUUCCCAACUACUUCAUCCCAUAUGAUUUUCUUCUAUUUCUGCCCCUCUUUCCUUUCAUAUAUAUCAAAUCACUCAUGGUGCAUCUCUCGGCCUAUAUUGUACAUGUCCAACCAAAACAUCAUACCAUGCAAUAUUCAUAAAAUAAGAGGCAUAUGCUGUUCAAAAAUGGUUAUAUGCUGACUAUUUUGUAAAUGGAUGUUGAAAUUAGUGCUUCCUUAUCUGAAUAUUAUUGAUGAACAAUAACUACAACCAUCUAGCCUUUUCCUAAAUUUGGGGUUAGUUUUGUGGAUCCUCAUUUUUCAAGUGUUCCUAUUUAGGGCCACCGCUGAUGUUAUUUAAAGUUUUUUCCAUAUCCUCCGUUACAAUCUUCAUCCAUGUUACCUUAGUUCUUCUCCUUUCCUUGCAACCUUUAGCACAAACUAAAAUACCUCUCUUUACUGAAGUCUCCUUAGAUCUUUGUUGUACAUGUCCAUAUCAUCUCAAUCAUUUUUCUCUCACUUCAUCCUUAAUUUGUUCAACUCCUAUAGCUUCUCUAAUAUAUUUAUUUCUUAUUUUAUCCUUUCCAGUUUUACCACACAUCUAUCUUAUCAUUAUCAUUUCUAACAUACUCUACUUGUUUUCAAUAUUAUUGAUGGAAUGAGAAGAUAAAAUUGGCAUGCUAUAGGUGGGUAUGAUAAUCUCAACAAAAAAAAGGUGAAAAAGGUGUAUGCCACAUACUAUGUUGCCCGGAACGCUACAAUUGGAUGAUAAUGCAUAUUUUUAAACAAACACUCAUGUUGAUAUUGUGUUAAAAGAAUAAAGCAUGGGAUGAAUAGGGGGUCUCUCUCUCCCCCUACCUUUUCCCUCCCUCUCUCCUUCUCACACAAAGUCUUUUCUUUAAUUUAAGCUGUGCAGCUCUUAUAUUGUCAUGACCCCCGCCCCGUUCCCGGCGGGCGGCCGCGACAGUCCUAGGAUGCGGGUAGGCACAAGGCCACCAGCCACCAUAUAGAACCCUACUACCUAUCAAUCAUUAAUAAAUUCUAAAAAUUUUGGCAUGAUACAUGCACAAAAUGAUCACCUUUCCUAUAUUGACCUGUCAGGAUUAUCUCAAUACAUACAACACUACCUGUCAGAGCAGCAAUCACAUAAUCUGUCACAUAAUAAACCUGGACAAUAUAUAGCAAUACAUCAUCACAGGCACGCAACUGAUCUGCAUAUAUAUAUAUAUAUAUAUAU